UACAGAGGUCCCGAGCGUUGUUCGGAUUCACUGGGCGUAAAGGGUGCGUAGGUGGCUACUGAAAGUUUGAUGUGAAAUCUCCGGGCUCAACCCGGAAAGAGCAUUGAAUACUGCAGAGCUGGAGGUUUGGAGGGGGGACUGGAAUUCUCGGUGUAGCAGUGAAAUGCGUAGAUAUCGAGAGGAACACCAGUGGCGAAGGCGAGUCCCUGGACAACACCUGACACUGAGGUGCGAAAGCGUGGGGAGCAAACAGG
This 254-nucleotide ribosomal RNA is filed under the name uncultured bacterium. Its description in RNAcentral is "partial 16S ribosomal RNA". It matches the Rfam family "Bacterial small subunit ribosomal RNA", at positions 524 to 776 of the family's 1533-position model. The record is from RNAcentral.